GGGGAUAUGGUGUAGGGGUAUCACGUCUGCUUUGCAUUGUUCAUUCUGAACGACGGCAUCUGCAGAAGGCCCGGGGUUCAAAUCCCCGUGUCUCCA
Molecule: transfer RNA, 96 nt
Filed under: Trichoderma longibrachiatum
Lineage: Eukaryota; Fungi; Ascomycota; Sordariomycetes; Hypocreales; Hypocreaceae
Also listed under: 2 other names
Description: tRNA-Ala
Rfam family: tRNA
About the family: Transfer RNA (tRNA) molecules are approximately 80 nucleotides in length. Their secondary structure includes four short double-helical elements and three loops (D, anti-codon, and T loops). Further hydrogen bonds mediate the characteristic L-shaped molecular structure. tRNAs have two regions of fundamental functional importance: the anti-codon, which is responsible for specific mRNA codon recognition, and the 3' end, to which the tRNAs corresponding amino acid is attached (by aminoacyl-tRNA synthetases). tRNAs cope with the degeneracy of the genetic code in two manners: having more than one tRNA (with a specific anti-codon) for a particular amino acid; and 'wobble' base-pairing, i.e. permitting non-standard base-pairing at the 3rd anti-codon position.
Source: RNAcentral